RNAcentral lists this transfer RNA (72 nucleotides) under Cavia porcellus (domestic guinea pig). It matches the Rfam family "tRNA". Rfam says of the family: Transfer RNA (tRNA) molecules are approximately 80 nucleotides in length. The record is from Rfam by way of RNAcentral. Lineage: Eukaryota; Metazoa; Chordata; Mammalia; Rodentia; Caviidae.
GUGGGUGUAGCUCAGUGGUAGAGCACUUGCCUGCCAUAUGCAAGGUCCUGGGUUAGAUUUCCUCACCCCACA